This 117-nucleotide ribosomal RNA is filed under the name Micrococcales bacterium. Lineage: Bacteria; Bacillati; Actinomycetota; Actinomycetes; Micrococcales. The record is from RNAcentral.
UACGGCGGUCAUAGCGACAGGGAAACGCCCGGCUCCAUUCCGAACCCGGAAGCUAAGCCUGUCAGCGCCGAUGGUACUGCGCGGGGGACCGCGUGGGAGAGUAGGACGCCGCCGGAC